RNAcentral lists this long non-coding RNA (569 nucleotides) under Homo sapiens (human). Its description in RNAcentral is "non-protein coding lnc-KLHL29-8:1". The record is from RNAcentral. Lineage: Eukaryota; Metazoa; Chordata; Mammalia; Primates; Hominidae.
UAUGACAUAAAUGUAGAUUUACAAAGAUUCCCAUCUAAGUAAAAACAACAUCACAAUUUAAACUUUUCACAAUGAUCAAAUUAUACUUUCUCUUAUUUUAUUCAUCGUUCACACAGAAAAAGUCCUAGGUAGAUUAGAGAAGCUGUUGCAUCAGUGCAUUGAUCUGGAUGCUCUGUGCUUUGCUACCACAACAGUUUCCUGUUGCAUAAGAUUCACACUUUUUAAAGCGAUCAUUAAAAUUAAAAUCAUGAAUGCAAUCACUAUUUGUAGUACCUAGUAUCUAUUUAGUUGUGGUUUGCAGAAACUUCUAUCAUUUUUUUUCUCAGUGAAUUCUAAAAGGUUCAUUUAUUUCUCUGAAGUGUGACCUUUCUUUUCUGCAACAAAACAAAAAUAUUGGUGGGCAGUCCAAAGCUGGCACCGAGGUGACUUCAACCCAGAAGAUCCAUUCAUUCAAUAGCUAUUUGUUGAGCACCUUGUUUUUUCAGGCACUGUUCCAGGAACUUGAGAUACAAUGUUGAACUGAACAGACAAAUAACCCUGCCUUCAGGGAGCUUACAUUCUAGUAUUAA